RNAcentral lists this ribosomal RNA (508 nucleotides) under uncultured bacterium. Its description in RNAcentral is "partial 16S ribosomal RNA". The record is from RNAcentral.
GGAGUUAGCCGGUGCUUCUUCUGUGAGUGAUGUCCUUCCUGCCGGUUAUUGACCCGCAGGCCUUCUUCCUCACUGAAAGUGCUUUACAACCCGAAGGCCUUCUUCACACACGCGGCAUGGCUGGAUCAGGGUUGCCCCCAUUGUCCAAUAUUCCCCACUGCUGCCUCCCGUAGGAGUCUGGGCCGUGUCUCAGUCCCAGUGUGGCUGAUCAUCCUCUCAGACCAGCUACGGAUCGUCGCCUUGGUGAGCCGUUACCUCACCAACCAGCUAAUCCGACAUAGGCUCAUCCGAUAGCGCGAGGCCCGAAGGUCCCCCGCUUUCCCCCGUAGGGCCGUAUUCGGUAUUAGCCUGGGUUUCCCCAGGUUAUCCCCCACUACCGGGCAGAUUCCUAUGCAUUACUCACCCGUCCGCCGCUCGCCACCAGGGAGCAAGCUCCCCGUGCUGCCGCUCGACUUGCAUGUGUUAGGCCUGCCGCCAGCGUUCAAUCUGAGCCAGGAUCAAACUCUGA